AGGGUUUCCAUUUCACUCCCAGAAGCAUCACAAAAUUCUUCCCUGAUUUCCAAAAAUAAACUCUUUUAAUACGCCAAAUUAUUCUAAAAACAAGGUGGUAAUAGAGAAGAGAGUGUUGUGAAAUCAAAGAAGCAAAGAUAAGUCUCCAAAAAAAUUUAAAACUCCUCCAUAGUCCAGACAGAUAGUUGUUUCUGAGAAUUCCACCCUCCCCAAAGUUGGAAUUAUACGACAGAAUUUUUUUUUUUUUUAAUUCCUUCAGUUGUUUUAUUCCAUUCUUGUAGGGCUCCUCCUGGGAUUGAAUUUUCCCUUCUCAAUAACACAAAGAGGUUAGAGCCAAGAAGUCCCCAGUAUCUGCUAGCUGUCCAAGAACAAAGCAGGCUUAAAUCCAUUUGGAUCCACGUCUCCAUUUGCUAGUGUUUUAAAUCCAAA
Molecule: long non-coding RNA, 429 nt
Filed under: Mustela putorius furo (domestic ferret)
Lineage: Eukaryota; Metazoa; Chordata; Mammalia; Carnivora; Mustelidae
Description: lncRNA (ENSMPUG00000024717.1)
Source: RNAcentral